CAAAAAGCAAUCAUUUUCUUGGAUACAACUGGAUUGAGCACCAGCUAGUUUGGCAUUGGCUGUAAACAUGCUUCAAGGUGCUCUAUCAAAGGGUUGUGUAUCAUUGUAACAGACAUCCCAGACAGCUUCCAUGGCAUCCUUUGCUGAUGCCGCAGAGCAGUAAGGGUUAGCAAUCACCGAUUUCAUGACUCUUCUUCUCACACAAUCCUGUGAAUAUCAGAGCAGAAACCAUAUAUAAUUUUACUUAUUUUGAAUAAACUUCUAAAACAAUGUAGAAGAAAACCCAUACUCCGGCCAAACACUCCCCCCCACCCCCCUUCUCUCAAGAUAUAAGGUUUUUGAGGAAUGGAAUUUGAAUUAGACUAACAUUCAAAACAUAAGUACUUCCAAUUAAAGCAUUCAGUGACAAAAAUAGGUCACUUAUAGUUCUUUAAAGACUAAUCCAUGAUGGCAUUGUAGGCAUAUGGUAAAACUGGAAAUUUUAAUCAUUAAAUUGAUAAAUUCCUUCACUGUUGCACUAAGAACUCUAAAUGUUGAACUUUCUUUCUCUUGUAAUUACAUCCAAAUGUGCAAGGAAAUUAGAAACAUGAAUAGACUAUUGUUAAUAAAGGGACUAUAGCAUACUUAUAUUCAUUAAUUUUUUAGUGAAGUGCAGGCUUAUAUCAGAAAAGAUUUGAAUAUUUGUUGGCUCCAGCACAUGUUAUAAGUCACUAGGUGUAUCUCUGUCAGCAUUUCAACACUUUUAACUAAAGUCUUUCUACAGAAAGGAAACUCACCUGUUCAUGGCCUCUUAUCUUCAUGUAACCCCGCAGUAAUUCCCGUUUGUAGUGACAAUCACC
RNAcentral lists this long non-coding RNA (839 nucleotides) under Citrus maxima (pomelo). RNAcentral's name for it is "long non-coding RNA (CMAX_LNC000550)". The record is from RNAcentral. Lineage: Eukaryota; Viridiplantae; Streptophyta; Magnoliopsida; Sapindales; Rutaceae.